This is a long non-coding RNA of Prinia subflava (tawny-flanked prinia), 784 nucleotides long. RefSeq lists it as uncharacterized. The record is from RefSeq and is a predicted model, not a curated record. Lineage: Eukaryota; Metazoa; Chordata; Aves; Passeriformes; Cisticolidae. The transcript has 3 exons.
GGAAGAGGAGGAUUCAAGUGCUGGGAGCAGCCAAGCAAAGCAGCAUGUCCCUGGCAUAGGAGGAGCGGAGGACAUGCCUUCUGCAGGGAUUAGGCAGAGCUGCUGGAAGUGAAGCCUGAAAACCGGCAGAACGGAAGCUUGGAAACCGAGCCCUGGGCUGGAGCGGAAACAAAUGAGAAUGUAAGAAAGAGAGUGAAGGUGUUCAAAUGCUGUUCAUUUAGUUAAUGACUCAAAACUAAAGAAGAAUCAACUUAUAUGAAGAGAGGAAAUUAAGAGAUCUCCUGCAGCACAUAGAUGGGUUUUGCAACUUUGGAGGAAUUUUUGCAGGUAUUUGGAGGGGUUGAUGCUUUCUGUUUGCUUAUUUGAAUAUUAGCUUUAAUAUUGGACAGCUUUACAUUUUCUUAUGGUGACUUGGUCUCAAAGUUAUGUCAGAAAGUCUCAUACACAGGAAACACCUCAGAAAAUUUCCCACUUGUAUAUGUUGUACUGACAAAUAUGCUAUAAACUUCAUUAUGUGGGGACCUUAAUCAGGCAGAACUUUUGCAUUUCUAAAUUUGUGCUUGUUUUUGAUACAAACGAAAUAGCUCUUCUCCUCAGUUAGCCUCUCAACACUUCUUAGUCCCACCAAGCUUUUAUUGUCAUUCUUCUCUCUCCAACAUGAUACACAUACUUAGCCCAGCUUGGUAGCAUUUCUGUUGGAUUGAGAAAAGUCUGACAGCAUCUUUGGCUUUCCUAAUUGAGCUAAAGAAACACAGCAUGCCAGGUACUCCUCAGAGCAGAGGAU